This 432-nucleotide ribosomal RNA is filed under the name Triticum aestivum (bread wheat). RNAcentral describes it as "partial small subunit ribosomal RNA". Lineage: Eukaryota; Viridiplantae; Streptophyta; Magnoliopsida; Poales; Poaceae. The record is from RNAcentral.
AUGGGUCGCGUCCGCACCAAGACCGUGAAGAAGACCUCCCGCCAGGUCAUCGAGAAGUACUAUUCUCGGAUGACCCUCGACUUCCACACCAACAAGAAGGUGCUCGAGGAGGUCUCCAUCCUCCAGUCGAAGCGCCUCCGCAACAAGGUGGCCGGCUUCACCACCCAUCUGAUGCGCCGCAUCCAGCGCGGCCCCGUGCGCGGCAUCUCCCUCAAGCUGCAGGAGGAGGAGCGUGAGCGCCGCAUGGACUUCGUGCCGGAGAAGUCGGCGCUCGAGGUCGACGAGAUCCGCGUCGACAAGGAGACCAUGGACAUGCUGGCGUUCCUCGGCAUGGCCGACCUCCCCGGCGUCGAGCGCGCCCCCGAAGUCACCUCCUCCGCCGCCCCCUACCGCCAGCCGUUCAACGGGCCCCGUGGUGGCAACCGCGCCUAG